Molecule: ribosomal RNA, 457 nt
Filed under: Burkholderia cenocepacia
Lineage: Bacteria; Pseudomonadati; Pseudomonadota; Betaproteobacteria; Burkholderiales; Burkholderiaceae
Description: bacterial SSU rRNA
Rfam family: Bacterial small subunit ribosomal RNA
Source: RNAcentral
UUAAACUGAAGAGUUUGAUCCUGGCUCAGAUUGAACGCUGGCGGCAUGCCUUACACAUGCAAGUCGAACGGCAGCACGGGUGCUUGCACCUGGUGGCGAGUGGCGAACGGGUGAGUAAUACAUCGGAACAUGUCCUGUAGUGGGGGAUAGCCCGGCGAAAGCCGGAUUAAUACCGCAUACGAUCCAUGGAUGAAAGCGGGGGACCUUCGGGCCUCGCGCUAUAGGGUUGGCCGAUGGCUGAUUAGCUAGUUGGUGGGGUAAAGGCCUACCAAGGCGACGAUCAGUAGCUGGUCUGAGAGGACGACCAGCCACACUGGGACUGAGACACGGCCCAGACUCCUACGGGAGGCAGCAGUGGGGAAUUUUGGACAAUGGGCGAAAGCCUGAUCCAGCAAUGCCGCGUGUGUGAAGAAGGCCUUCGGGUUGUAAAGCACUUUUGUCCGGAAAGAAAUCCUUG